UACGUAGGGUGCAAGCGUUGUUCGGAAUUACUGGGCGUAAAGAGUGUGUAGGCGGUGCUCUAAGUUCGGUGUGAAAUCUCCCGGCUCAACUGGGAGGGUGCGCCGAAAACUGGGGUGCUGGAGCGCGGGAGAGGAAAGCGGAAUUCCUGGUGUGAGCGGUGAAAUGCGUAGAUAUCAGGAGGAACACCGGCGGUGUAGACGG
RNAcentral lists this ribosomal RNA (202 nucleotides) under uncultured bacterium. RNAcentral describes it as "partial 16S ribosomal RNA". It matches the Rfam family "Bacterial small subunit ribosomal RNA", at positions 524 to 724 of the family's 1533-position model. The record is from RNAcentral.